RNAcentral lists this ribosomal RNA (253 nucleotides) under uncultured bacterium. RNAcentral describes it as "partial 16S ribosomal RNA". It matches the Rfam family "Bacterial small subunit ribosomal RNA", at positions 524 to 776 of the family's 1533-position model. The record is from RNAcentral.
UACGGGGGGAGCAAGCGUUGUUCGGAUUUACUGGGCGUAAAGGGCGCGUAGGCGGCGCGACAAGUCACUUGUGAAAUCUCCGGGCUUAACUCGGAGCGGCCAAGUGAUACUGUCGUGCUAGAGUGCGGAAGGGGCAACUGGAAUUCUCGGUGUAGCGGUGAAAUGCGUAGAUAUCGAGAGGAACACCUGCGGCGAAGGCGGGUUGCUGGGCCGACACUGACGCUGAGGCACGAAAGCGUGGGGAGCAAACAGG